CCUACGGGGGGCAGCAGUGAGGAAUAUUGGUCAAUGGACGAGAGUCUGAACCAGCCAAGUAGCGUGAAGGAUGACUGCCCUAUGGGUUGUAAACUUCUUUUAUAAAGGAAUAAAACGAGGCACGUGUGCCUUUUUGCAUGUACUUUAUGAAUAACGAUCGGCUAACUCCGUGCCACCAGCCGCGGUAAUACGGAGGAUCCGAGCGUUAUCCGGAUUUAUUGGGUUUAAAGGGAGCGUAGAUGGGUUGUUAAGUCAGGUGUGAAAGUUUGCGGCUCAACCGUAAAAUUGCAAUUGAUACUGGAAGUCUUGAGUACAGUUGAGGUAGGCGGAAUUCGUGGUGUAGCGGUGAAAUGCUUAGAUAUCACGAAGAACCCCGAUUGCGAAGGCAGCUUACUAAGCUGCAACUGACAUUGAUGCUCGAAAGUGUGGGUAUCAAACAGGAUUAGAUACCCGGGUAGUC
RNAcentral lists this ribosomal RNA (460 nucleotides) under uncultured bacterium. RNAcentral's name for it is "partial 16S ribosomal RNA". It matches the Rfam family "Bacterial small subunit ribosomal RNA", at positions 338 to 795 of the family's 1533-position model. The record is from RNAcentral.